GAUGAACGCUGGCGGCGUGCCUAAUACAUGCAAGUCGAGCGAACAGAUAAGGAGCUUGCUCCUUUGACGUUAGCGGCGGACGGGUGAGUAACACGUGGGUAACCUACCUAUAAGACUGGAAUAACUCCGGGAAACCGGGGCUAAUGCAGGAUAACAUGUUGAACCGCAUGGUUCUACAGUGAAAGGCGGCUUUGCUGUCACUUAUAGAUGGACCCGCGCCGUAUUAGCUAGUUGGUGAGGUAACGGCUCACCAAGGCAACGAUACGUAGCCGACCUGAGAGGGUGAUCGGCCACACUGGAACUGAGACACGGUCCAGACUCCUACGGGAGGCAGCAGUAGGGAAUCUUCCGCAAUGGGCGAAAGCCUGACGGAGCAACGCCGCGUGAGUGAUGAAGGUCUUCGGAUCGUAAAACUCUGCUAUUAGGGAAGAACAAAUGCGUAAGUAACUGUGCGCGUCUUGACGGUACCUAAUCAGAAAGCCACGGCUAACUACGUG
RNAcentral lists this ribosomal RNA (497 nucleotides) under uncultured bacterium. RNAcentral describes it as "partial 16S ribosomal RNA". It matches the Rfam family "Bacterial small subunit ribosomal RNA", at positions 28 to 507 of the family's 1533-position model. The record is from RNAcentral.